Stylophora pistillata is the source of this 529-nucleotide long non-coding RNA. The record is from RefSeq and is a predicted model, not a curated record. NCBI's taxonomy places the organism in Eukaryota, Metazoa, Cnidaria, Anthozoa, Scleractinia, Pocilloporidae.
UAAAGGGUCAGACAUGACAUUCCUUACGACUUGUCAGGUCAGAACGUUCAACUUGCUCAUGACUGAUGUGCACUUAUGGGGCCUACUUAUGAUCUUCCUGCGAGCUAAUACUUGCCACGCGGCUUUACUUUAUUUUUGUUUAAGCUUGAGGCAGAGGGCAAGAAAUAUCUAUUAACAUCGCCGGACGGUACAUAACUGCAUGACUUACAAAAUGAAGUAAUCAAAGUAUUUUUUAAUGUCGAGAUCUACAUUUCUAUGAAAACAGUUUUUAGACGAGAAAGUGGUAUAACAUGACCAAUGCUACUUUAAAAGAAGGGUUCCAGAUGCAAUUUGCUUUCGUAACUGAUAGUAUUUGCAGUGGUAAUGCAGUUUUACCUUUCACGGCCAAUAAUAGAUUUCCAUGGAUGAAAACGGUCAGCACCAGCAGAGUUGGACGACUCAUCCUCACAGACUAAACCUCUACCAAAUGACUGUGAUCUGUAUCUGUGAAGUGUGUUUUAUAAUUCAAUAAAGAAAGUCUCUUGCAUAA